UAAGAAUUGAUGUAAAAAAUUCAUGAAAAACAAGUAAAAUAAUUACACACACACACACACUGAAAAUUACUUUCUGUUUAUUUUUCUCUGCCCUGAGCCUGCUUUGAGCCAUCUAUACAGACUUCAAUCAUGCCAUUGUGCUCAGUAUUAUGCUGCCAUCAUAUUAUUUUGGAAGCUGCCACGAGUGAGAGGUGGUAAAUCACACUGAAUAGAAAUAUCAGCGCGCUGUGAAUCCCAACGACCUGCGUGCUGCGUUUUGUGGCAUGCCACGCAGCAAGUGAUACGAAGAAUAGAUGCAGGGGUUGCAAGAGUGAGAAUCGGGGCGUGUUUUGUUGCUGAUUUAUCGACGUCGCUGCUGUUGCUGCUGCUGCUGCUGUUGCUGCUGCUGCUGCUGUUGUUGCCAUUGUCUGGGUUUUUGGCACUGUUAACCCGAUUUUCCACUUUUCGUGCGGCAACGUGAAUGGUGCGCGCGGCAUGCAUGAUGAUCAUGUUUACAUUGUGCACCAUACCCCUGCCCCCUGCCCCACGCUACCCUAAAAAGAAACCACGGUAGAUGUCACUAAUGGGGCGCACGUUCAAGUCGAGUCACGUCACCUUUGGCUGCGGCUGCGAUUGCGACGAAGAACAGACCGAAACCAGGCCACGACCAUGCCAACCAAGACAUUGGCAACGGGCGCAAGUCAAACUUUUGCAGUUGACAGCGCAGGACUAGCAAAUACUAUGUACUACAACAAGUUGAGCUGCAAUGCUAUUUAUAUGCAACAAAGGGGCAACUCACUCAGCUUGUGCUAUAAGCUAACUCUUGCCUUUUACAAAUAUAGUUUUAAAUCGAA
This is a long non-coding RNA of Drosophila mojavensis, 833 nucleotides long. RefSeq lists it as uncharacterized. The transcript is spliced from 2 exons. NCBI's taxonomy places the organism in Eukaryota, Metazoa, Arthropoda, Insecta, Diptera, Drosophilidae. The record is from RefSeq and is a predicted model, not a curated record.